UGCCACCGAAUACAUUAGCAUGGGAUAAUGGAAUAGGACCCUGUCCUCCUAUUUUCAGUUGGUUUUGGCAGCGCGAGGACUAGGGUAAUGAUUAAUAGGGAUAGUUGGGGGCAUUAAUAUUUAAUUGUCAGAGGUGAAAUUCUUGGAUUUAUGAAAGAUUAACUUCUGCGAAAGCAUCUGCCAAGGAUGUUUUCAUUAAUCAAGAACGAAAGUUAGGGGAUCGAAGACGAUCAGAUACCGUCGUAGUCUUAACCAUAAACGAUGCCGACCAGCGAUUAGGAGACGUUGAAUACAAAACACCACCAUCGGUUGCGGUCGUCCUUGGCGUCUCGGUUUCGGCCGGGGCGCGGGGAUGGCUUAGCCCGGUGGCACCGGUGAAUGACUCCCCUAGCAGCUUGUGAG
Molecule: ribosomal RNA, 402 nt
Filed under: Acanthamoeba culbertsoni
Lineage: Eukaryota; Discosea; Longamoebia; Acanthamoebidae
Description: SSU rRNA
Rfam family: Eukaryotic small subunit ribosomal RNA
Source: RNAcentral